RNAcentral lists this ribosomal RNA (522 nucleotides) under uncultured Glomus. RNAcentral describes it as "SSU rRNA". It matches the Rfam family "Eukaryotic small subunit ribosomal RNA", at positions 569 to 1092 of the family's 1831-position model. The record is from RNAcentral. Lineage: Eukaryota; Fungi; Glomeromycota; Glomeromycetes; Glomerales; Glomeraceae.
AGCAGCCGCGGUAAUUCCAGCUCCAAUAGCGUAUAUUAAAGUUGUUGCAGUUAAAAAGCUCGUAGUUGAAUUUCGGGAUCAAUACGUCGGUCGUGCCUCUGGUAUGUACUGGUGUUAUUGAUUCCUCCUUUCUGAUGAACCAUGAUGUCAUUAAUUUGGUGUUGUGGGGAGUCAGGACUGUUACUUUGAAAAAAUUAGAGUGUUUAAAGCAGGCCUACGCUUGAAUACAUUAGCAUGGAAUAAUGAAAUAGGACGUUCGAACCUAUUUUGUUGGUUUCUAGGAUCAACGUAAUGAUUAAUAGGGAUAGUUGGGGGCAUUAGUAUUCAAUUGUCAGAGGUGAAAUUCUUGGAUUUAUUGAAGACUAACUACUGCGAAAGCAUUUGCCAAGGAUGUUUUCAUUAAUCAAGAACGAAAGUUAGGGGAUCGAAGACGAUCAGAUACCGUCGUAGUCUUAACCAUAAACUAUGCCGACUAGGGAUCGGAUGAUGUUAAUUUUUUAAUGACGCAUUCGGCGCCUUACG